This is a long non-coding RNA of Gigantopelta aegis, 800 nucleotides long. RefSeq lists it as uncharacterized. The record is from RefSeq and is a predicted model, not a curated record. Lineage: Eukaryota; Metazoa; Mollusca; Gastropoda; Neomphalida; Peltospiridae. The transcript has 2 exons.
GGAGCUGCUUAGUAUACUGGAUUGUUACACUGGGUUUGACAGGUUUGAGAUACUGCAGUGUGGCGAUGUUGAAAAACUCAUCAAAAAGCGCGUUAACCCAAGGGAGAAUCCUGGUUAUUAUGUUAGCAUAGAAGAAACAUGAUGUGGUUAGGCGUGCACAUAUAGUCACAGGACAUGGUGGUCGAGAUCGCAUGACCAAAGAAAUCAACAAAAAGUAUGCAAACAUCACUCGCGAUGUUCUCAAUCUUUUCAAGUCUUAUUGUCAUGAAUGUCAGAAGAAACGUAAGCGCCCAAGGAUUAAGGGUGUUGUAGUGCGCCCCAUUCUCACAAAUGAGUUCGCUUCUCGUGCACAAAUUGAUCUUAUUGAUAUGCAGUCCAUGGCCCCAAAAUCAUUUAAGUGGAUUUUUGUCUAUCAAGACCACCUAACCAAGUUUGUCAUUCUUCGAGCCCUAACUUCAAAGCGUGCUGCUGAGGUAGCUCAUCACCUGCUUGAUAUAUUCCUUCUCAUUGGUGCCCCAUCUAUUCUCCAGAGCGACAAUGGAAGUGAAUUCACAGCAGAGGUUAUCAGUGAACUGAAAAUUGUGUAGCCCAGGCUGGUUAUGGUCCAUGGUAAACCUCGACACCCUCAAAGUCAGGGGUCUGUGGAAAGGGCAAAUGGUGAUAUCAAGGAUAUGCUUGUUGCAUGGAUGGGAGAUAAUGACACAAAUGAUUGGUCAGUAGGCAUAAAAUUUGUUCAACUUCAUCUUCAUCUAUUUUACUACAAAUGAUUUGAUUUGAGUUUAAAUAAAGUGUUACAUUAA